CAGCAGCCGCGGUAAUACGAAGGGUGCAAGCGUUAAUCGGAAUUACUGGGCGUAAAGCGUGCGUAGGCGGUGAGUUAAGUCUGCUGUGAAAUCCCCGGGCUCAACCUGGGAAUGGCAGUGGAUACUGGCUCGCUAGAGUGUGUCAGAGGAUGGUGGAAUUCCCGGUGUAGCGGUGAAAUGCGUAGGGAUCGGGAGGAACAUCAGUAGCGAAGGCGGCCAUCUGGGACAACACUGACGCUGAGGCACGAAAGCGUGGGGAGCAAACAGGAUUAGAUACCCCUGUAGUCCCUGUCUCUUAUAC
Molecule: ribosomal RNA, 301 nt
Filed under: uncultured bacterium
Lineage: Bacteria
Description: partial 16S ribosomal RNA
Rfam family: Bacterial small subunit ribosomal RNA
Source: RNAcentral